Long non-coding RNA from Gambusia affinis (western mosquitofish), 253 nucleotides. RefSeq lists it as uncharacterized. Lineage: Eukaryota; Metazoa; Chordata; Actinopteri; Cyprinodontiformes; Poeciliidae. The record is from RefSeq and is a predicted model, not a curated record. The transcript has 3 exons.
GUUGUUGUCAUGCCAACAAGGUGGCCAAAGUAAAACAUGAAAAAACAGAGGAUAGGGCUGUGGAAGAGAUUGAGGGAUUGUGGAAGGCCAGAUAAGAGAAACCUAUUCAGAGUGACUGCUCAUUUCACCCCACUCCAGUGUGACUAGAAUCAAUCCCUGGCUAGUCGCAAAAUAGGCAGAAAGAAUGAAGGCAAGCAUUUGUGUGCUGUGUGUUGAAGACGACUGAAGGCACAAACAAGGCAGACGCAAAAAA